AACGGGUGAGUAACACGUGGGCAAUCUGCCCUGCACUCUGGGACAAGCCCUGGAAACGGGGUCUAAUACCGGAUACGACCAUCUUGGGCAUCCUUGGUGGUGGAAAGCUCCGGCGGUGCAGGAUGAGCCCGCGGCCUAUCAGCUUGUUGGUGAGGUAACGGCUCACCAAGGCGACGACGGGUAGCCGGCCUGAGAGGGCGACCGGCCACACUGGGACUGAGACACGGCCCAGACUCCUACGGGAGGCAGCAGUGGGGAAUAUUGCACAAUGGGCGAAAGCCUGAUGCAGCGACGCCGCGUGAGGGAUGACGGCCUUCGGGUUGUAAACCUCUUUCAGCAGGGAAGAAGCGAAAGUGACGGUACCUGCAGAAGAAGCGCCGGCUAACUACGUGCCAGCAGCCGCGGUAAUACGUAGGGCGCGAGCGUUGUCCGGAAUUAUUGGGCGUAAAGAGCUCGUAGGCGGCUUGUCGCGUCGGUUGUGAAAGCCCGGGGCUUAACCCCGGGUCUGCAGUCGAUACGGGCAGGCUAGAGUUCGGUAGGGGAGAUCGGAAUUCCUGGUGUAGCGGUGAAAUGCGCAGAUAUCAGGAGGAACACCGGUGGCGAAGGCGGAUCUCUGGGCCGAUACUGACGCUGAGGAGCGAAAGCGUGGGGAGCGAACAGGAUUAGAUACCCUGGUAGUCCA
This 682-nucleotide ribosomal RNA is filed under the name Streptomyces sp. CA_LC_18. Its description in RNAcentral is "bacterial SSU rRNA". It matches the Rfam family "Bacterial small subunit ribosomal RNA", at positions 101 to 797 of the family's 1533-position model. Lineage: Bacteria; Bacillati; Actinomycetota; Actinomycetes; Kitasatosporales; Streptomycetaceae. The record is from RNAcentral.